GUUUUUAAUAUUGCGUUUUAAAUAAAUAAUAUUAUGUAUGUUAAUACCAAUAUUAUAACGAUUUCAUUGUAUGCAAUAUCAAAGGUCCUAGAGGUUUAGAUACCAAAUGUCUGUGCGUAAUGCGUAUUGAUAAUAAUUUCGAAUAAUGUUGGUAAGUCACCGGUAAUUACAACGAUACAAUACAAUCUACAUAAUAAGUAAAUCGUAUCUAUUAUUACUAAAUUAUCAAUGAAAAAAAAUUAAAUAUUUACGAGUACCUACCUAGGUAUACAAAAUAUAAAGUACAUGACACGUAAUACUGUUCGGUGACUGUAUAUUAUAACAAAUAAAAUACCAUAACAUAAUAUCAACGGUGGACAACGAUUGACGGAUUGACAAUACAUUGGAUGCAUGAUAUCCACAUUUUUCAGAAAAAUUUAAAAAAUGUAAAUAAAAAUGCUUAUUAUUAUGAGCAUUUAAGAAGUGUUCUUUUUUAUUUCCCUCGAGUAUUCGAAAAUUGAAUAUCGGUGAUCAAUUAUGCAUAACAGAAUAUAUUGUAAUGAAGUCACAAUGGUGACUGUUAGAAUUUAUUAUAAUAAUUAUUCGUUAAUGAUUUCAGUAAGCCAGCCAUCUGUCAAAUGCAGUAUUAUUGUCACCAAGCUGUGUCUGAAUAAUGAAUAAGUUAUUUUUAAAACGCAAUCUAGUAGAUAAAAUACAUCCAGCUUUCGUGGAAUUAGUUCCGAACUUUGUCGAUUUUUGGUCAGGGGAUCUAUUUUUGAGUUCGCACUAAUCAUUGGCGAAUACUUUAGUACACUAAUCAAUUGGACGAUGAUUUUAGUGCAUUAACUAAAAUUCGUAUUUUUGAAUUUCAUUUUUUUUCUAUCUAAUAUUCUUAAACUAAUCGCAUAUUGUCUAAUCUUUUGUUUUUUAAACUAAUAAUUAUUAGUGCGAUAUCUAAAAUUAUAUUGGCUGUACUGUAAAUUAUAUUAGUUUUAUCAGACAUAAAUUAUAGAAAUAUAACAUAAAUAAGAUAAUACUUAUUACUUACCUAUUACUUUUAAAGUUUUUCUUUGGCGAGUUUGGCCUUUGCGUUUUCCUAAGUUUUUGAGUUUGCUCCUUAGAGUCUCUAGAGUCAAGUCGAUAGCGAAAUAGUGCUAUUCUAUAUUUUAUCCAUUUUUUUUUACGGUUAUGGAAGCAAAAAAAAAGUCCAAAAGUGUAACUUAUGAACAAAAAUAAUUAUUGAUUGAUUUUGUUCAUAAGCAUCCAAAAUUAAAUACCAAGAAGUUUGGACCUUCUUUUACCAUGAAGGAUUCACAGUUGUUGUGGCAAAAUAUUACCUGUACGUUGAACCAAACAAUUGGACCAAAAAAAACUUAGGUUGAAUGGAGAAAGUGUUUUUAAUACUUAAAAUCCGCUGCAAAACAAAAAGUUCCUUUAAAAUCACAUUACAGCAAGACUGGAGGAGGUGAAAAGCAGGAUGAAGAGUGCAUUGACCAAGCUGACGAACAACUUCUGGAUAUUUUAGGGCAUACUGCUAUUCAUGGUCAUGACACUGUCACAGAAAGUACUUGUACUGUUUCAUUUUUGAGUGACAACACUGGUAAUGUUAUAGCUACAACUGAUGAAGUAGAUAUAGAGGAGUUGAUUUCAGAUAAUAUGCCUGCAGAAGAAGAUAGUAAUAAUUUAGACUUCAUUACUAUUUUUGUAAAUUCAAAUAACAGCGAUGAGCAAGAUAGUACUAAAAAAGCAAUUGAAUCUGAUCCGUUUGACCAAUUUAUUGGUAGGUACUGUUAAAAAAAGAAGUUUGGAUAAACUUUUUGAAGAUAUUAAUUUACAAAAUGCCCACAACAAGUUAUGAUAAAAUGAUUCAACUCCAUUUUAAUAUUUUUUACCUAUCAAAUAUCGCCAGACAUACGUUAGAAAAAAAAUUUACAAAAUAUGCACAUAAAAAACGAUCGACAUACAAUAUAUUAAUGUGAUAAGUUCAAGUACGCACAAUUAUACUGAAAAUCGAUGAUAAUAUAACUAAACAAGUUGGAAAAAUUCACUCCAAUCAAUCAAAAACAAAGUGGGAAAAUUUAAAACAUCUGUUCAAUAUGCUUAUAGAGCCUAAUAUUACCGUGUUUAAUUUAUAUACUAAUUAUUUACUCGGGUUAUAAUGUAAAAAAUAAUAAUGUACCUAACUGUAUGAAAUUAAUCACGCACAAAACCACGACGAGUGGCAAAUUAUUGUUUCAAAUAUAAGUUGUUUACUUAAUUAAGAACUUAAUAUUAUGAACAUAAUAUUGCUUAUUUUAUUUUUUGAAACAGAAUAUUUUUUGGUGUAUUCAUAAAAAAAAGUGUAAAAUUAAACGAGCAUUUUAAUAAGUUUUUAAAGUUUAGAUAAGUGGAAUGAAGUGGUACAGUGCUACUUCUAUCUACAUAUCCGCAUAAUAUACCCUGAUUAAAUAAUCUAAGUCCCUUACUUUAGUUUUUUAAAUCUAUAACAUUUUAUUUUUUCGAGUGAAAAUGCUUGAUAAUAUAUUACGAAGUUUCCUCAGCUGAUAAAUAAAGAUAAUAUAGACAUGGUCACAAUUUUUUUUUUUUAUUACAGCAAGUAUAGACUUAUAGUAAGUUAACGUUUAUAAUUCAAAAAUUAUUUCAUUGUUAGAAAUCCAUAAACCUUUCAAUUAGCUCAAAAAAAUUUAAAUACCUUAAAAAUUGUAUCAUGCAUAGAAAAUGAUAAAUUUAACAUUUGGAGAAAAUUUUAAGUAUCUAAAACUUUAGAUAGAACUUUUUUUGUGUGGUCAAGUGGGUAACGCUCUAUACCAGCGGUUCUUAACCUGUGGUCCUCGGCCCCCUGGGGGUCCGCGAUACUCAUGUCGGGAGUCCGCGGCAGCCUUAACACAUAACAUACGUCAAUAAUUGAUGUAUAUUUUUUCAUAUAUAAUAUGUAGAUUCUACACCAAAUAAUUAUAUUAUUAAUAUUUACUAAGUAUAAUCAGUUUUCUUGUUCAUACGAAAUGUAAGUGUGUACAGAACUGUAGUCUCGGCAGUCUUAUAUUUACUGCCACCAAUAGUGCAGUUGAUCGAUCGUUCUCAAUUAUGGUUUUAUAUUACAUUUUUAUAAAAAAAUUAAUUGUAAUAAAAUAACUAUAAAUGUGUAUGUAUUGUGAAGUCUGCUUA
Molecule: long non-coding RNA, 3144 nt
Filed under: Acyrthosiphon pisum (pea aphid)
Lineage: Eukaryota; Metazoa; Arthropoda; Insecta; Hemiptera; Aphididae
Description: uncharacterized LOC115033867
Source: RNAcentral